This 541-nucleotide ribosomal RNA is filed under the name uncultured bacterium. RNAcentral's name for it is "bacterial SSU rRNA". It matches the Rfam family "Bacterial small subunit ribosomal RNA", at positions 767 to 1304 of the family's 1533-position model. The record is from RNAcentral.
AGCUAAUAGAUACCCGGGUAGUCCACGCCCUAAACGAUGUCUACUAGUUGUUGGUGGAGUAAAAUCCAUGAGUAAACGCAGCUAAACGCGUGAAGUAGACCGCCUGGGGAGUACGGUCGCAAGAUUAAAAACUCAAAGGAAUUGACGGGGGCCCGCACAAGCGGUGGAUUAUGUGGAUUAAAUUCGAUGCAACGCGAAAAACCUUACCUGGCCUUGACAUGCCACUAACGAAGCAGAGAUGCAUUAGGUGCCCGUAAGGGAAAGUGGACACAGGUGCUGCAUGGCUGUCGUCAGCUCGUGUCGUGAGAUGUUGGGUUAAGUCCCGCAACGAGCGCAACCCUUGCCAUUAAUUGCCAUCAUUUAGUUGGGCACUUUAAUGGGACUGCCGGUGACAAACCGGAGGAAGGUGGGGAGUGACGUCAAGUCCUCAUGGCCCUUAUGGCCAGGGCUUCACACGUAAUACAAUAGUCGGUACAGAGAGUUGCCAACCCGCCGAGGGGAGGCUAAUCUCAGAAAGACCGAUCGUAGUCCGGAUUGUUCU